RNAcentral lists this long non-coding RNA (295 nucleotides) under Daucus carota (carrot). Its description in RNAcentral is "long non-coding RNA (DCAR_LNC001793)". Lineage: Eukaryota; Viridiplantae; Streptophyta; Magnoliopsida; Apiales; Apiaceae. The record is from RNAcentral.
CUUAGAAUUGGCAUGGGAUCGUAUGGUUCUGUCUACAAAGGCAGUUUGCAUCAUACGAUGGCUGCUGUUAAAGUUCUCCACUCUCAGGAGGUUCAUCGGACCAAAGAAUUCCUGCAGGAGGUACAGGAGUUCCACAAUUAAUAAUGAGCUAGAGUAUAUGCCAUUUGUGUCAUUUUUUUACCUGAUUUUCAGGUGGAGAUCCUUAGCAAAGUUCGUCAUCCACACUUGCUAAUUCUUCUUGGUGCAUGUAUUGAUCAUGGAUGCCUUGUUUACGAGUAUAUGGAGAAUGGGAGCU